GGAUGGCUCUGCAGUGCCUUCCAAGCACCGAGCCAUGCCUGCUCUUGCUGGGAGUGCACUUCUGUUCCGGAUGCCUCCUGCGCUUUCAGGCGCUUAAUGGAAAUGGCAGUGCUGCUCUUGGAGGGCAGGCCGGAAAGUUUCUGCGGACUUGUCCAUGUGCCAGAGAGACAUUUUUGUCGGGCGGAAGCUGAUUUCCAUUAUGUCUUUGUCAGACUUUGCAGCCAUAGAGGGGAAUUUGGGGCUUUCUGUGUCAGAGCACUGUCUGAAUGUUACCUGAGACCUUUACCUCCCCAUAACGCUGCGGUUCUGUGCUGUGCAUGAGAAGCAUCUGUCCGGGUGUUAAGCAGGGGUAGCUCAGUACACGCACUGGAAUCCUUGCACCUCUUCAUGUUUUGCUGGCUCUUUGAGGUACUGGAUUCUCAGGAGCACUGUGGUUUGGCCCCUCUGGUAAUAUGUUUGUCCUUUGUUAUGAUACAUCUGUCUUUAGAACAAAGUUUCCUCUUUAUCUCAGGUUUAAAGUGAAAAACUCGAGGUUUGGAAGCGCAUUAGUUUCCUGUUCCAGAUGUAUCUGCAUUCAGAUCCGGGAACAGAGGUUUGGCUGUAAUAAAAUAAGCAAAAACACACCCACAACCACACUAAAUUGGUCUUGCAGGUAAAAAGGAAAAACAUACCCAGAAAACAAUAUUUGCAAAGCCCAUCAAGCAGUUUUCAGGGCAGCUCUGCUUAUUUCAGAAUAACUCCUACUAAUGGGCAGCUUUUAAAAAGAACCAAACCCAAACCAACCGCAGACCCCCCCAGUGAACACCACGGACUCAGCAUGGUGUAGCUCCUGCCCAAACAUCUGUUCCCCCGGUGCUGAGAGGUCCCCUUGCGAUGAGUUCAUGUGAUUCUCUACACAGAGGUUAAGUAAAGUUGAGAGGCUCCCAUCAGUGGCUUCGUGCCAUGGAGGCCAGAUCAGCAAAAAGAGUUUCACUGCAGAUAUGUCCGGUUCUAAUUCAGAGAAGAACUCAGGAGGGAAAAAGACAUCACCUAAGCUGGGCUUUAGUGCUGUGCUGUUUGGUAUUGGAGGAAGAUGCUUCAGUAUGGAAAGUGGAACUGGGGCAAAGUGGUGCUCCCGGGCGGUAGGAGCUGGCUGGGCAGUGUGCUCUGCGUCCUCCUCCUUCUGCUGACAGCAUUGCUGUCUGCCUGCUGGUGGGACUUCCAGCAAGGAGCUCAGUUUGGUGAACACAGAAUGCACAGCUCAUCGUAACUUUGGCCAAGAGGAGCUGCACUGUCUCCUUGGUUCAGGAAAUAUCCACUGUGUACAAUCCUACAGCAGUGAUUCAGUAUUAGGAGCUGUGGAUGCAGAAUUAUAUGGCUGUGUGUAACUCUGUCUGUGGUGUUCCUCUGACAAGCAGACCCAACAACCUCCUGUCCCAAUCCCAAAGCACAAAUAAUGUCUACUGUGUAAAACAGGUCAUGUUUGUACCAUCCUUCUUGGCACGUGUGGUGAGGGUGGGUCACUGGGGUUUGUCCCCACCCUGCCCAGCACAGCCCACAGGGCACCUCCAUCCCAAACAGAGCCACCUGGGAUGUACCUCAGUGUCUGAAGAGGCAGUUAGAAUUCAGGGGUUAGAGUGCAUAAGAUUUAAACCUGUCAUGUCUUUUUAUUUGCCUGCAUUGGCUCAUCUUUAGUUUUUUUCCGCCGGUUAAUUUUUGGAUUUGAGGCUGCUUAUUUUCAUUUGCUUUGUCCUAUCCAUUAAGGAUGGAAGCCACGUUAAGACCUAGAUAAAGGUUUUAUUGCAGCCAUUGAGCCCUGCUUUUGGGAUGUCUCCUCCUCCCGUAUUUCAAAAUGAAGCUAUGGAAGGGAGCACCAGGGUUUGUUUAAACGCAGAAGAUGCAGAACUGAAACCGAAGCCUCAGUGCAUGGAGUUACUAACACAGUCCAUCUUGUACCUAGCAGUGACUUCAAAGUGUCUGCAUGUCCUUUUCAGAAGCAGUGCGCUCUCUGCUGAAGCCCAGUCCUUGCAGUGUGACUAAUUUUGGCUGUGCAGUUGCCUUUGGCUAAUCCAAGCAAAUUGGGCUGUGUUGUAUUUUGACAUGGGGAGAGGCCAAAUUAAGGACCCCAGGUCAGAGGCAGGGACAGGAGCUGGGGGUGAACCUCUCAGCAGGCAGCUCCCUCCCACCUGCUCCCUGGGAUUGGGUCUUUUCUACACUGCCACCCAUUGGAGCUGCCCUGGCCCCGAGCGCUGCUGCGCCCUGCAUGGCCCUGUGGGGAUGGGGGUGCGGCUGCUGCGUGCUGUGCUGUACGCCUGGUUUGGGAGGGUUACUGACAAACUGCAUCCAUGCUUUUACUUUCCUGCCCUGUCUCCUCAGUGUCGGCUUUUGGCUCCUCUGGUCCCACAUCCUGCGGGGCUGCAGUUCAUACCGAGGAGCGCGAGCAUCAAAGAGGAGAUGGUGAAUAAGAAACCGCUUUAUGACAUGUCUUCAAAGUGCCUUUUUAAAAGUUCAAAGGACAAGAGGGAAGGAGGGAAUAAAAAUCAAAGGAAGAUCUGGGGGAGAGAAAUUAAAGCCUCAGAGGAACUUUAUGGCGUGUUCUAUGUAACACUUUCAGUGCCGAAAUCAGGGCUGCUCCUGGCAGUGGUGUCAGCACCCAGCAGUGCCUGCAGACCUCCUGCUCUGCUCCAAAGCACCUGCAGCUGUGCGCUCCUAAAUGAACUUCAUUCCAGAUCCACGCUUCCCAUUCUCUUGCCUCCAGGCCAAGGGGAGGAUGCUGGCUCUGCACUGCCUGGGAGGGCUGGGGUCUGAGCUAAAUCACAGCUCCGAUCUGCUGUCAUCUCCACAGGUUGGAGAUGCCCAUCUCUGAGAGCCCACAGCUCCCGGACCAGGAGAUGAUUUGCCAUCCUUGGAAGCCUUCUGGACUGUGGAGUUCUUCCAAGAAUUUUUCAAUUUCCACAGAUGAAAAUAUAGUCUAAACCAGAUGCCAGCUGAAACGCACUCACUUCGUACCACCUCGCCAAGGCAGCGCGCCACGGGCUCAGCAAUGUGACCUUUAAAAUGGCCUUUCUAGAACACACUGCUAAGAGCACUUUCUAAAAAGCCACAAUUGCAGCUACUCUUAUUACUCAUAAUGUCUUUGAUGGAGAGGAAUACUCAGGGAACUUCAGCUUCAGCAACCCGGUAGAGUCAGUUCUGUGCAGCGGAGGCUUCCUUCGUGGCAUUACAGACUUGAGACCACGAUGAGAGCGUUGGUGAUAAUGAACAUUUCCUAAAGCAUUACUUGUAUAAGAUUAAAAUGAAAUAAAAGCAGUGAAACCUUUGCUUUGCCCAUGUGAAAGAAUGGCUCUGCCACUUAGCCAUUCGUUCCUAGAAGUGGAUAUGUAUACCUGUGCCUUCUCCAUGUAUUUGUAAGUCUAACAAAUAUUAUACACACAAAUAUACACCAAUGUUAUGCAAAAUGCAUUCAGGCAAUGUAUUUCAAAUCAAUGAAUAUUUUGAGUCAUCAGCCUAAAUGGUGUUUGUAGAUGCAUAAUUGCAUGCUACUUUCUGGGAUUUUUUGUAGUAUUCUGAGUGGCGCUGAGCCGCCACUUCAUUAAAACUGUCCCUUGGGAUCCAAUUCUUUGGGUUUGUUUUUGCAUGUGCCAGGAAAUUUGGACCCUGAUUUCUGUAUGGCCACCACUGCCAUGCUGGUGCACUGCCGGCCGGCGGCACUGUGUGGCACUGCAUGGCCCUGGUGGGCACAGGGAGCAGAAUAACAUGAGAUCCAGUUUGCUUUGGUCAGUCUGGGAGAGACUUCACAGCAGCAGUGAUGGGACACUUUAGAGUUGGCUGAGUGGAGUUUUCCUAUCAUUUCUGAACCUUCUGUCCUUAAACUGAUUCAACUAAAUAUGUGACAUUUUGAGGAAAACUUGCCCUGUGUCUUUAGCUUCUUUCAUACCAGACAGGGUGGGAACAAGAUAAGUUUGCUUAAAAGCCUUUGUUUUCACUCACUUCUCUACUU
This 3979-nucleotide long non-coding RNA is filed under the name Gallus gallus (chicken). RNAcentral describes it as "lncRNA (ENSGALG00010017145.1)". The record is from RNAcentral. Lineage: Eukaryota; Metazoa; Chordata; Aves; Galliformes; Phasianidae.